AGGGUUUGAUCAUGGCUCAGUAUUGAACGCUGGCGGCAGGCCUAACACAUGCAAGUCGAACGGUAACAGGAAACAGCUUGCUGUUUCGCUGGCGAGUGGCGGACGGGUGAGUAAUGUCUGGGAAACUGCCUGAUGGAGGGGGAUAACUACUGGAGACGGUAGCUAAUACCGCAUAACGUCGCAAGGCCAAAGAGGGGGACCUUCGGGCCUCUUGCCAUCGGAUGUGCCCAGAUGGGGUUAGCUAGUAGGUGGGGUAACGGCUCACCUAGGCGACGAUCCCUAGCUGGUCUGAGAGGAUGACCGGCCACACUGGAACUGAGACACGGUCCAGACUCCUACGGGAGGCAGCAGUGGGGAAUAUUGCACAAUGGGCGCAAGCCUGAUGCAGCCAUGCCGCGUGUAUGAAGAAGGCCUUCGGGUUGUAAAUAACUUUUCAGCGGGGAGGAAGGGAGUAAAGUUAAUACCUUUGCUCAUUGACGUUACCCGCAGAAGAAGCACCGGCUAACUCCGUGCCAGCAGCCGCGGUAAUACGGAGGGUGCAAGCGUUAAUCGGAAUUACUGGGCGUAAAGCGCACGCAGGCGGUUUGUUAAGUCAGAUGUGAAAUCCCCGGGCUCAACCUGGGAACUGCAUCUGAUACUGGCAAGCUUGAGUCUCGUAGAGGGGGGUAGAAUUCCAGGUGUAGCGGUGAAAUGCGUAGAGAUCUGGAGGAAUACCGGUGGCGAAGGCGGCCCCCUGGACGAAGACUGACGCUCAGGUGCGAAAGCGUGGGGAGCAAACAGGAUUAGAUACCCUGGUAGUCCACGCCGUAAACGAUGUCGACUUGGAGGUUGUGCCCUUGAGGCGUGGCUUCCGGAGCUAACGCGUUAAGUCGACCGCCUGGGGAGUACGGCCGCAAGGUUAAAACUCAAAUGAAUUGACGGGGGCCCGCACAAGCGGUGGAGCAUGUGGUUUAAUUCGAUGCAACGCGAAGAACCUUACCUGGUCUUGACAUCCACAGAACUUUCCAGAGAUGGAUUGGUGCCUUCGGGAACUGUGAGACAGGUGCUGCAUGGCUGUCGUCAGCUCGUGUUGUGAAAUGUUGGGUUAAGUCCCGCAACGAGCGCAACCCUUAUCCUUUGUUGCCAGCGGUCCGGCCGGGAACUCAAAGGAGACUGCCAGUGAUAAACUGGAGGAAGGCGGGGACGACGUCAAGUCAUCAUGGCCCUUACGGCCAGGGCUACACACGUGCUACAAUGGUCGGUACAAAGGGUUGCUACCUAGCGAUAGGAUGCUAAUCUCAAAAAGCCGAUCGUAGUCCGGAUUGGAGUCUGCAACUCGACUCCAUGAAGUCGGAAUCGCUAGUAAUCGUGGAUCAGAAUGCCACGGUGAAUACGUUCCCGGGCCUUGUACACACCGCCC
This 1399-nucleotide ribosomal RNA is filed under the name uncultured bacterium. RNAcentral's name for it is "bacterial SSU rRNA". It matches the Rfam family "Bacterial small subunit ribosomal RNA". The record is from RNAcentral.